RNAcentral lists this non-coding RNA (29 nucleotides) under Mus musculus (house mouse). Lineage: Eukaryota; Metazoa; Chordata; Mammalia; Rodentia; Muridae. The record is from RNAcentral.
UGAGGUCCUUUCCAAACAAGGAUUGAGCC